RNAcentral lists this ribosomal RNA (757 nucleotides) under uncultured archaeon. Its description in RNAcentral is "bacterial SSU rRNA". It matches the Rfam family "Archaeal small subunit ribosomal RNA", at positions 102 to 859 of the family's 1478-position model. The record is from RNAcentral.
GGAUAACCUACCCUUAGGACUGGGAUAACCCUGGGAAACUGGGGAUAAUACUGGAUAGGCAAUUAUUCCUGUAAUGGUUUUUUGUUUAAAUGUUUUUUCGCCUAAGGAUGGGUCUGCGGCCGAUUAGGUAGUUGGUUAGGUAAUGGCUUACCAAGCCUUUGAUCGGUACGGGUUGUGAGAGCAAGAGCCCGGAGAUGGAACCUGAGACAAGGUUCCAGGCCCUACGGGGUGCAGCAGGCGCGAAACCUCCGCAAUGUGAGAAAUCGCGACGGGGGGAUUCCAAGUGCCAUUCUUAACGGGAUGGCUUUUCAUUAGUGUAAAGAGCUUUUGGAAUAAGAGCUGGGCAAGACCGGUGCCAGCCGCCGCGGUAACACCGGCAGCUCUAGUGGUAGCAGUUUUUAUUGGGCCUAAAGCGUCCGUAGCCGGUUUAAUAAGUCUCUGGUGAAAUCCUGCGGCUUAACUGUGGGAAUUGCUGGAGAUACUAUUAGACUUGAGAUCGGGAGAGGUUAGAGGUACUCCCAGGGUAGAGGUGAAAUUCUGUAAUCCUGGGAGGACCGCCUGUUGCGAAGGCGUCUGACUGGAACGAUUCUGACGGUGAGGGACGAAAGCUAGGGGCGCGAACCGGAUUAGAUACCCGGGUAGUCCUAGCUGUAAACGAUGCGGACUUGGUGUUGGGGUGGCUUUGAGCUGUCCCAGUGCCGAAGAGAAGCUGUUAAGUCCGCCGCCUGGGAAGUACGGUCGCAAGACUGAAACUUAA